GUGCUUCUAGCUCAGGGGUAGAGCGUUCGCUUUGUAUUGUCAAAUCCGCGAAAGGCCCUUGGGUCCGAUUCCCAAACUGUCCA
This is a non-coding RNA of Immersiella caudata, 83 nucleotides long. Lineage: Eukaryota; Fungi; Ascomycota; Sordariomycetes; Sordariales; Lasiosphaeriaceae. The record is from the annotation of a GenBank genome assembly.